AACGCAUAUUGCGCCCUUUGGUAUUCCGAAGGGCAUGCCUGUUCGAGCGUCAUGAUCAAACCCUCAAGCUUUGCUUGGUAUUGGGUCUUCGUCUCUCCUGUCAUUGUACAGGUAGUGACGUGCCUGAAAGUCAAUGGCGGUGCCUCAAAUAGACUCAAGCGAAGCAGACUGACUCGCUUUGGAGAACUUUUGUGGGUUCUGUCAAACAAAAAUCUAAGUUUUCGACCUCGGAUCAGGUAGGGAUACCCGCUGAACUUAA
RNAcentral lists this unclassified non-coding RNA (259 nucleotides) under uncultured Geoglossales. RNAcentral describes it as "sequence contains 5.8S rRNA gene, ITS2, 28S rRNA gene". The stretch from base 1 to 52 matches the Rfam family "5.8S ribosomal RNA", at positions 103 to 154 of the family's 154-position model. The record is from RNAcentral. Lineage: Eukaryota; Fungi; Ascomycota; Geoglossomycetes.